UACGAAGGGGGCUAGCGUUGUUCGGAUUUACUGGGCGUAAAGCGCACGUAGGCGGAUCUUUAAGUCAGAGGUGAAAUCCCAAGGCUCAACCUUGGAACUGCCUUUGAUACUGGGGAUCUCGAGUCCGGGAGAGGUGAGUGGCACUGCGAGUGUAGAGGUGAAAUUCGUAGAUAUUCGCAAGAACACCAGUGGCGAAGGCGGCUCACUGGCCCGUUACUGACGCUGAGGCACGAAAGCGUGGGGAGCAAACAGG
RNAcentral lists this ribosomal RNA (253 nucleotides) under uncultured bacterium. RNAcentral describes it as "partial 16S ribosomal RNA". It matches the Rfam family "Bacterial small subunit ribosomal RNA", at positions 524 to 776 of the family's 1533-position model. The record is from RNAcentral.